AACAAUCACUGCCUAGUGCCUUCACCUAGGGCUUUAACAGCUUCACUCCCAAGUCCCAAUUCCCAAAUCGAAGCUGCUCUCCGGCCUCCGCCAGUCCGCCACACUCUACGUCUCCUGUCUCCAUGUCAGUCCUCAUUCGACCUCAUUUCUCACUUCACCAGUUCAUCGCUGCCGUGCUGGUUCAUCGCUGCCAAGUGCUGAAGCCGAAGCACCAAUCACUGCUCUUCUCUGGCUCGCUUAGGUAAGUGCUCAUCUCUGGCAGUAAAAUGGCCAAGAUCGACUCGGAAAUUUGUUAUCUUGAAUUGGUAAGGGGACGAAAUCUGACUAUUUGAGCUUCCAAUUGCAAACUCUCACUUUUGUAGUAGUUUAGAUUAGAUUUGAUAUAACAUAAGCUUUGUAUUUUAUACACAAGAAAUCUCUCUCCAGUUGUGCAGCCUUUAAAAGUUAAGGCCUUGGGAAAAAAUUCCACCUUUUACCCGUUAGAAAAAUUAAAAAGGAAAAAACUUGCUAAAAUGAAAAUUUUACCUCUUUUUGUCCGUGGAGAUUCUCUUAAUUAAUGGGUCUUGCCAACAUUCUGGAUGAAGUUAUGCACUUGUGCUUCUUUGAAACUAGUCUAUUCUUGGCCUUGAAUAUUAUAUUGGCCUACAACCUAGAUUUAAGUCUUGAUCCAACAGGAGAAUAUUUUUGGGCUGAACAGGUUUCUGUCCAAAAGUAAUAUGAUAAAAUGUCCCUGACCCAAUUUCUUUGUGUGCAUUAUAUGCAAAUCUGGCGAAGUUAAAACUGAAUCUGUUUCAGUUCAUUAGUUCAGGCUGUUCAGCUGCUGAUUAAUAUGUUUAGUUUUUUUUCUAACUUGUAGUUGUAUUGUAUAUUGGCAGUUGGCACUCCAGAUUUGUAGUUGAUGAAUUUUGGCAUUUGUAAUGUGUGUGUAAUAACUCAGGGAAGCAGCGUUGCAAACUUAAGUUGAUAACAGGGUAUUAAAUUUUUUUUUAAUAGAUGAAUUCGGUUAGACCGAAUUGAUUACCAUUUUCGAAUUUGAAAUCAGUUGCGGAAUGAAUUCGGUUAUGACCAAUUUGAAAUUGAAAACGGUUUAGAUCUCUAUAGGUUGAAUAACCGAAUUCACCAAAUUCAUUGCACCAAAUGACCGCUUUUGCACCAAAUGCACACCCCUAAAUCAGUUGCGGAAUGAAUUCGGUUAUGACCAAUUUGAAAUUGAAAACGGUUUAGAUCUCUAUAGGUUGAAUAACCGAAUUCACCAAAUUCAUUGCACCAAAUGACCGCUUUUGCACCAAAUGCACACCCCUAGAUCUGGCCAUCUCCAGCCAUGGAGUGAUCGUUAGGUAAUUUUCUUGUUUUGUGUGCAGAUAUUUCAGUAUGUUGAAUUGUCGAUACACAAGUGCAUUAACGUGUCCAUUGUCUUGAAAGGAGAACUGAUUAUGUCUGUGUUAUCUUGACGUGCAUCUUUGUAUGCCACUACCAGCUUUAGCCUUGCAAUUUAUUGCCUGGAAUAGGUGUAAGCACUAUAAACUUGGACAAAUGUAUGAAUCUCUCUACUUUCUCCUUGAGUCCAAAAAUUGAUUUCUGGGGAACAUAUCUGACUCAUUCGACUUGAUUCAUUUAUCCUACUAAUACUUAAGAAGUAUUUUUACUUCCACUAUUCAAUGCUUUUCAUCUUAACAGGAUUUUUAUAAAAUUUUUGAGGAAAGGUUUUAGUGCUUUGAAGCAUUGUGCACCAAUUUUAUGUGCAGCCAUAUUUUGUUUAAUUACCUUUUCACCCUUUUGCUUGAGCUAAAGUUCACCUCUGAGAAGGGCAUUUCCUAGUAUAAUAUAGAAAGGGGUUUAUUUUACACUUGUUCUCUCUCUGAUUUACGACUGCCUAUUCAGGGUUUAUAGUGUCCUUCCUUUAUGAGUUUGAUAUGUCCUUAUUGCAAUGGGCACAAGUAUUCCGAAUGAAGCUUAGAGUUUUCGUAAAUGCACUCUGGUAUCCCCUUCUGCUUUCAACAGCGUGCUAAGCUGAGAUUAUUAAUGGCUAGCUGCUAUGUGAAUUUGCUGAAAUGUCCUGGAAGGUGCCAUUCUGACUCUUGAGCUGAGUUUUAAAAGCUCCUUGGAUUUUCCAUAAUUUGCUGUUGUAAUGAAGUUGUUCUUCAGUGUUCAUUAAAAUUGUAUUAAGCCAUGGGAUGGCUACUACCAUUUGUUGGUCAUUUAUAUCGGAUCCAAGAAACGGCUUGUUCUUCCUCUCUUACGAUCCGUUGAUUUCACAUUAUUUGCCACAAUUAGGUUUAGGUUGUUGGCUAUGCUUUAUUCGUCUUGUGUCUUUUGGUUUUAGGUCUUUUAAAGGAUCUUAGUUUCUUCUCUCUUUACCUCUAAUUUUAUCAAUUUUAUGCAAGUUUUUGUUACCGAAAAACUCAGAAAAAAUUACACACAAAAACUCACUGAACUGUGUGCCUUUAGAAUUGAAUAGGGAUAUGGCUCGUCAAGCAACAAGACCACUUGAUUGGAAAUUUGGCAUCAAAGCUGCUGCAAAACUCCAAUGGGAAAUCCAAGCAGCUGCGCCACUUCGGACCACCUCCUUGCACGGUCUUGGUUGACAAGAACACUAGCAUCAUCUGCCAGGGCAUCGCCAGUGAAAACAGAAGCUUACAAACUGAACAAGCCACCAAAUUCGGCACGAUUAUGCUAUUGUUGGAUAUUUUACUCCUAAUGGCGAGCCAAAGGCAGAAAAGAAGCUGAUGGGGGCAGGCUGCUUGGAAUGAAAGGACGCAGGGAAAGAAAAAGGAUGGAAGAUGAGUAAAUGGAACAAGCUGGGAGAAAGAAGCUGUCUGCUUCAGCCAUUUGCAUCUACUACUGAGAAGGUUCUAAGAAGGUUCAAAAAAACUGAAAAUUGUCCUGUUCUAAAAUUGACAAUGGAGAUUCAUCAUGGAAUCAUUUUUUGUUCUGCCUUUUAGACUUCAGAGUGCUUCAGGUGCGGCUUUAGCAGAUUGGCAUUUGAGGACCAGCUUGAGGUUAGUCCUGGAUUUCCUGUGCUUAUGAUUAUUUUACUGGGCAGUCAUGUUUACUAUCUAAUCUUGCUGAAUAGCUGUGUAUGUUCUUCUAAACUUUGAACAAAUGCAUUACAUAUUUGGCUGUCAAACCAGCUUGUUUAAUUUUUUGAUAUUACAACAGUUCAAAGCUGUUUGUUAGAUGCUCGAUAUCUUCAAAUGUUUGUGAAGAUGGUGAAGUUUUUCUUGCACUAUAGGAGGUAGCACUGUAUAUAGCUUACAAGUUCUCAAUUGUGUGUACAUUGGUAUUAUUCAUAGCUAGUGCUGGCCAUGUGAUUUAAUCUUUAGCAUUUUGUAAAUAACGUCUGGACCAUAUAGCUAACACAUAAAUUCAGAUGCUGUAAUUUAUGUAUUCAAACUGCUGAAAUAUGAGCCUGAUGAAAUAUGAACCUGAUUACAGCUAUGCUAUCAAGCUGUUCCUGCAACUAUUUGUGCAUAUAUUCUCUCUUUCUAGUAGAUAUGGUUUUGAUUUUUAAUACUGGUUUAGAUAACACUUGCAUUUUUCUUAGCCUCUAUUUUUCCAAUCUAGUGAUGUACUAAACUGGGUUUGAUCACUAUUUGUCUGUGAUGGUCUCCGAUUAUUUUGGAGUGUGUUCCAAUCACAUGCUAGGUAUGUCAUGGAGGCAUUAUGGAAGUGAUCUCCAGUCAUGAGGUUCUUGGUGAAUAGACGUCCUUAAGUAUGACACAUACUUUUUGUAAGUUCAUGCUAGCUAUGUCUUGCACCUCCCGUCCUCUCUGAUCAAACGUGGUACGGAAUUGACAUGUUGAACUAAGAUGAAAUUUUGGAAGAUCAUACAUCUCAUUCUGUAUAGGGUGACCGGAGAUAUGUGGUGCUCAAUCGGAGUUGCUCGCUAGUCAAGAAAAAUUCCUCCCCUAACUUUUUAGUUAAAAUUUGGACAAUGACUAGCUUUCUAUAGAUGUCCCAUGCCCCCAGCAUAGUUUGUAAACUUUCUUGCAUGUUUCAAUGAAGAUUGUGUUCUAUUCUGGUUCUCAGACAAUUUUAGUAGAAAAUCUAUUUGUUUUUGAUGGUUA
Non-coding RNA from Coffea arabica (coffee), 4067 nucleotides. The record is from RefSeq and is a predicted model, not a curated record. Lineage: Eukaryota; Viridiplantae; Streptophyta; Magnoliopsida; Gentianales; Rubiaceae.